Molecule: long non-coding RNA, 1473 nt
Organism: Oncorhynchus tshawytscha (Chinook salmon)
Lineage: Eukaryota; Metazoa; Chordata; Actinopteri; Salmoniformes; Salmonidae
Source: Ensembl
UACUCAUAGUCCGCAUCCUCUGGCCUUAGCAUCAUUUUACGUCAUCCUGCUCAAGCGCCCUUCUGAAGACAAAAUAAGCAUCUUUCAAUUCCUGUGACUGAUCUCCACAUGUUAUACAAUGCAAUCAUUUUGGAAGUUUGAUGAAAGGUGCUAAAGCCAUCACUCACGUGCAUUCACCUGGCUUAAGAAGCACAGGUACAGCCCAAAGGCCAGAAGGCACAGAAAAUGCAAAAACACACACACAGGAUGUCAUAAGUUUCCCACAGCCAGACAUGUGAUGGAUGUUGUGGUCACAAAACGACGCAUACUCUGUGAACUUUAGAUGUGUAAUUUUUCAGAUUGCUUUUACAGGUUUUGAACAUUCAUGUAAAAACAAAAUAUGUGCUACACAAUUCAUUCACAUUGUACAAUUUAUCAUGGCCCAAACACACCAGCACAGUCGUUAAGAGGGCACAAAAACACCUCCUCCUCAGGAUGCUGAAAAUAUUUGUCAUGGGCCCUCAGAUGCUCAAAAGGUUAUACAACUGCACCAUUAAGAGCAUCUUGACUGGCUCCAACACCGCUUGGUAUGGCAACUGCUUGGCAUCCGACCAUAAGGCACUACAGAGGGUAGUGCAUAUGGUCCAGUACAUCACUGGGGAAGAGCUCCCUGCCAUCCAGGACCUUUACUCCAGGUGGUGUCAGAGGAAGGCCCUAAAAAUUGUCAGACUCCAGCCACCCAAGUCAUAGACUGUUCUCUCUACUACCGCAGUCAAUUGAUACCGGAGUGCCAAGCCUGUGACCAAAAGGCUCCUGAACAUCUCCUACCCCCAAGCCAUAAGACUGCUGAACAGUUUAUCAAAUGGCUACCCAGACGAUUUGCAUUGACACCAUUUAUUUAUUUUUUGCCGUUUGCGCUGGCUUUAUGCAAAAUCACUGGACUUUACCCACACACUCACACAUACUACACUGACUCACAUGCGUGUGUGUGUGAGUGUUGCAGUAGAUUCAAGUAGAAAUGUUACAUGCAUAACUUUUAAAUGCUUCCAGCGCUUCAGUCUUUUAAGCGCAGACUAUUUUACACCUGGCUUUGUAUGACAGCACCUUUGCUGGGCCUUUAAAUUGGUUACUCUUUACAGUUUACACUUAAUGGGAUAGUUCAGAGAAAUAAUGUAUUCAGAUAUUUGUUUUCUUACCUCAUAAGCAGUCUUCGGACUGCUCUUCAAGGAAAACUCAGCCCAAAAAUCUUUGGCUGAGAGUUUCCUUUUGCAAGGGUGGAGACUUCAGAACUCCCAAUUUCUAACACGCAUGGGCACAGAACUUAAUCACGCAGCUGAAUUUUUGUUCUAAGGAGUGACUGCACUGGUUUUGGCAGAAAAGUCACUGCCAAUAAAUGCUUAUGUUAGCAUUUUCGGACUAAAAACAUUAUUUUACUUAGCAUAGUGUGUCUGAAGUUACACAUCACACUAUUGUAUGAAUGUUUUUGAAUAAAAU